GAUGAACGCUGGCGGCGUGCCUAAUACAUGCAAGUCGAGCGAACGGACGAGAAGCUUGCUUUUCUGAUGUUAGCGGCGGACGGGUGAGUAACACGUGGAUAACCUACCUAUAAGACUGGGAUAACUUCGGGAAACCGGAGCUAAUACCGGAUAAUAUUUUGAACCGCAUGGUUCAAAAGUGAAAGACGGUCUUGCUGUCACUUAUAGAUGGAUCCGCGCUGCAUUAGCUAGUUGGUAAGGUAACGGCUUACCAAGGCAACGAUGCAUAGCCGACCUGAGAGGGUGAUCGGCCACACUGGAACUGAGACACGGUCCAGACUCCUACGGGAGGCAGCAGUAGGGAAUCUUCCGCAAUGGGCGAAAGCCUGACGGAGCAACGCCGCGUGAGUGAUGAAGGUCUUCGGAUCGUAAAACUCUGUUAUUAGGGAAGAACAUAUGUGUAAGUAACUGUGCACAUCUUGACGGUACCUAAUCAGAAAGCCACGGCCAACUACGUGCCAGCAGCCGCGGUAAUACGUAGGUGGCAAGCGUUAUCCGGAAUUAUUGGGCGUAAAGCGCGCGUAGGCGGUUUUUUAAGUCUGAUGUGAAAGCCCACGGCUCAACCGUGGAGGGUCAUUGGAAACUGGAAAACUUGAGUGCAGAAGAGGAAAGUGGAAUUCCAUGUGUAGCGGUGAAAUGCGCAGAGAUGUGGAGGAACACCAGUGGCGAAGGCGACUUUCUGGUCUGUAACUGACGCUGAUGUGCGAAAGCGUGGGGAUCAAACAGGAUUAGAUACCCUGGUAGUCCACGCCGUAAACGAUGAGUGCUAAGUGUUAGGGGGUUUCCGCCCCUUAGUGCUGCAGCUAACGCAUUAAGCACUCCGCCUGGGGAGUACGACCGCAAGGUUGAAACUCAAAGGAAUUGACGGGGGCCCGCACAAGCGGUGGAGCAUGUGGUUUAAUUCGAAGCAACGCGAAGAACCUUACCAAAUCUUGACAUCCUUUGACAACUCUAGAGAUAGAGCCUUCCCCUUCGGGGGACAAAGUGACAGGUGGUGCAUGGUUGUCGUCAGCUCGUGUCGUGAGAUGUUGGGUUAAGUCCCGCAACGAGCGCAACCCUUAAGCUUAGUUGCCAUCAUUAAGUUGGGCACUCUAAGUUGACUGCCGGUGACAAACCGGAGGAAGGUGGGGAUGACGUCAAAUCAUCAUGCCCCUUAUGAUUUGGGCUACACACGUGCUACAAUGGACAAUACAAAGGGCAGCGAAACCGCGAGGUCAAGCAAAUCCCAUAAAGUUGUUCUCAGUUCGGAUUGUAGUCUGCAACUCGACUACAUGAAGCUGGAAUCGCUAGUAAUCGUAGAUCAGCAUGCUACGGUGAAUACGUUCCCGGGUCU
Molecule: ribosomal RNA, 1372 nt
Filed under: uncultured bacterium
Lineage: Bacteria
Description: bacterial SSU rRNA
Rfam family: Bacterial small subunit ribosomal RNA
Source: RNAcentral